RNAcentral lists this ribosomal RNA (253 nucleotides) under uncultured bacterium. RNAcentral describes it as "partial 16S ribosomal RNA". It matches the Rfam family "Bacterial small subunit ribosomal RNA", at positions 524 to 776 of the family's 1533-position model. The record is from RNAcentral.
UACAGAGGUCUCAAGCGUUGUUCGGAUUCAUUGGGCGUAAAGGGUGCGUAGGCGGCGCGGUAAGUCGGGUGUGAAAUCUCGGAGCUUAACUCCGAAACUGCAUUCGAUACUGCCGUGCUUGAGGACUGGAGAGGAGACUGGAAUUUACGGUGUAGCGGUGAAAUGCGUAGGUAUCGUAAGGAAGACCAGUGGCGAAGGCGGGUCUCUGGACAGUUCCUGACGCUGAGGCACGAAGGUCAGGGGAGCAAACGGG